This 400-nucleotide ribosomal RNA is filed under the name uncultured bacterium. RNAcentral describes it as "bacterial SSU rRNA". It matches the Rfam family "Bacterial small subunit ribosomal RNA", at positions 28 to 441 of the family's 1533-position model. The record is from RNAcentral.
GAUGAACGCUGGCGGCGUGCAUAACACAUUCAAGUCGAACGAAGCAGCAAUGCUGAGUGGCGGACGGGUGAGUAACGCGUGAGCAACCUGCCUGUAAUUGCGGAAUAACACAGGGAAACCUGUGCUAAUACGGCAUAAAGCAGCGAUACCGCAUGGUAAAGCUGCCAAAGAGAAAUUGAUUACAGAUGGGCUCGCGUCUGAUUAGCCUAGUUGGCGGGUAAAGGCCCACCAAGGCUGAGAUGGGUAGCUGGUCUGAGAGGAUGAUCAGCCACACUGGAACUGGAACACGGUCCAGACUCCUACGGGAGGCAGCAGUGAGGAAUUUUGCGCAAUGGGGGAAACCCUGACGCAGCAACGCCGCGUGAGUGAUGAAGGCCUUGGUCGUAAGACUCUGUCGAGU